AGAUUGGGGUCCUGCAGCCCCCAAAAUGCCCAGGCUUUGCUCUGCGGAGAUGCAUGGAGCCCUGGGACACGCCUGAGCACAGAUCCCAAAGCUCUGAAAGAUCCAGAAGCUGCUGUGGGACGGACGCCCACGGGGACCUCGGCCAGCUCGAACCUUCCAGACCGUCACGCUGAGCCCUGUCCCACAGCACUGCAAGGACUUGGCUUGCACAAGCAUCAACCUUUCCCCCUCCCGGGUCACGAGACACAAACAGCCCUGAUUGGAAGCUGUUUUUUCCUCUUUUUUUUUUUUUUUUUGCUUUAUCAGGAUCUUGCUGAGCUAGACGGUGUUCUUGGUGAGUGGGUCAUGUUUGCACAGUGGUUUAUAAGUGCAAUUCCUUAUGUAAGAGCACAGGGUUGCUCCAGAGGCUCACCUGGGCAGCACGCAUGUGCGUUGCCAUCUGCAACAUGAGCGCCGUGUGCACCCAGAGAGCAUCAGCUCCCAUCUCUCAAGGUGCACUGAAUGAACGUGAGGAUUCACAGCCUCUGCUCAGGGUGUGAAGGGCUGCACGCUCGCCGGCCCGGCUGCCAAGAGCCUGGGUUUGCUCCAGUAACCCAGCUCCUGAAGGUCACUGGCUCAAGGCUGGGCUUGUGUCCCGACUGCCUGUUUUUAUUACUGACUGUCCUUAUCGUCGUGUGGUGAGAACAGCCCGUCCCAAGCACGCCUGCUGCCUCUUCUGCUGCCUUUUGCCCAAGCUCCGCUUCUCCCCAGCGCCCUGCCGUGUGCCGGUGUCCAGCCUGGCGUCAUCGAAUGUCACUGCACUGUCACUGCACUGCCACCAGUGCUGGAGCCCUGGGGGAAACUUGUGCGUCAGGAAUUGCUGAUCUGGCUUUGGGGGAUUGACAGGGAACGGGCAGAGGGACUGCAGGGUGGCAAAGUCUGUCUGCAAGGAAGGGGCAAGGCCAGGGAGGAGUGGAAGGGAGGAAGAAAGGGAGGUUCCUUUAAACCAAGCAGGAAUGUCCCAGCCUGGCGGUCCCUGAGCCACUCCGUGGUUUGGAAGCACAAGGCAGCAUCUACAUGAGCAUCCCCCUGCCAGUGGCUUUACCACGCAGACCUGAGGAGGAAGGCUCUCAGAAAGGACCAUCUUGUGCACCAUGCGGGGUGAAUGCAAAGAGGAACACCGAAGAGAUCUCCAUCCCAAGGACAGAGCAAGUCCUGGGGACAUGGAGUACACCCUCAGGACAAGGUCCUUAUUCUUGGAAAGCAAUAACAUCCUUGGAAAGGAAAAGCUAAGGACACAACAUCUCCAUGGGGAUGGCUGGAUUGCCUUGGGCUUAGCGGCACCCCAUCCCAGCCCCAUUGCUGUGCCACCCCCUGCCUUGACUAGCGUCCAGGAUUGUGCAGCAGGACUGAUAGAGUCAGACAGAAGCAGCCGGGACACCAACAGACGAGUCUUCACCUCACUGGGUCAGCACCCGGCCGGGCGAGACGUACUGUGCCGAGAGUGGAAAAUUCCUGCUGCCUCGCCGGGCGCUGCCUGCAGCCCCAGCACACAGCUGCGUCCCACAGGACUUGGCAUGCCCUGCAGUGUUUAUCAACACCGUUGCGCAAGGGCCGUGGCACGCAGCUUGGCAGGGCCAUGGGGCUGCUUGGGCAACCAGCUCUGCCGAAAGCCAGCACGCUCUUGGGAAAGUCCCCCCGCCUGCACGGGCGGCCAGGCACACCUGCGUGUCUGAUGGCACGAUGUCACCAACCUGAAGGCCAUAGGGACCUGGCGGCCACCGGGUUUUCGGCAUCCCGAAUUCAAGGCAGUGAGCCCUGAGGUUUGCUGAGGAUCUCUUCUCGUCCCUUGCAAAUACGCUGGGCUGGUCCCUCUUACAAGGCACACAAAGAUCACCAGUUCAGCACUGGUCCCACUGGUUUGUUGCAGCCUCGCUGUGCUGUUGAGAUGCUCCAUCUCGUGUGACCCUCAAAAACAUGAGACAGGGUCACUCCUUGAGGCGCUGUUCAACUGUGGGAUCCACAGCACAGAUCCCAGCUCAUGUGCCCAUGGAUGCCCCCAUCUGAGACCUAUCCUCAUCACACAUCGGUGUCCUGAGGUCCCCAGCAGCUUCUCAACACCUUUCCACGGCUCUGGAUUCACCUGCAGGGCUACAUAAGACCUCAGAGUUCUGGUGCCCCUUGCCCAGGGUGUGCAGCUCCCUUCUCAGCGGGGAGCAUGGACACGGUGGCAGCACAUCAGGAUGAUGCGCCAGGAGGCUGCUGAGGAGGAACAAUGCCAGGAAUGCUAUUCUGCACUGCCAGAGACACGCUGGAGCCCAGGUACCAGCUGUUUUUGGAACCCCCAGCUGCAGCCCAAAGCCCUGCUAAAGUGGGAAUGUUUGUGGGGUGGGUGCCAAAGCCUAGCCCCCCCCCCCCCCCAAGAGUGGCCAGCAGUAACCCUGGGGCAUCAAGGGCUUGCAGCAGGGCUGAGGGCAUAGAGACCAAGGUAGGGGCUGCCCACCAUGGGGACGCAUCCAGCAGAAGAAUCCUAAAUUUAGGGUCCCCCUGACCCUUCCCCAGGCCCGCCGGCAGCUGGAGGCGCAGCGCAGAGCAGGCUUUGCGUGAGCCAGCCAAGAUGUUCAUCGGAGCAGAGGCAUGCAUAAACAUUUUGCUUAAUAAAGGACUCUGGGCGAACACAGUGUACUCUGGCUCCGUGCAGUGGGAACAGCUGUGGCCCUGCGGGGCCAGCGCAGGGAUGUCGAGGCGCGGUGGCAGAGCGACCUCGUAUGGCAACAGCACAGUCAGCGGGCACCGCGAGCCACGGGACACCGCAAAGCAUCCCAACCCCGCACCCAUCUGGCACCUCAGCCCGAUUUUGGGAUGCGCAUCGGGAUGCUCUGAGAACUGCUAGCAGAGGUUGAGCCAAGGAUGCGGCACGUGAAGCAAAUCUCGCUUUCCAUCACUUGUGGCUUGCUGCAAAUCUGAUUUCCAAGAACGAAAGCAGCUCGGUGCACACUGCAUUUCUACGAACGCAGCUCCUCCUGGGGGCGAUGGGCUGAGUCCAGCCCGUGCUCCCUCACAUGGGGUCUUCGGGGGAAAAAGUUCCACUCCGUAGCUCUGGAUAUGCGCUCAGUUCGGGUGCGGGGAUCUGGAGCAAUUGCAGGGGAUUCCUCCCUUCACUCCGCGUGCUGCACCGCGGUUAUUCAACAGGCACGGAGCACAGCGGGCAGCCGGGCUCCUGGCGAGCCAACAGGGAGACACGACAGAAACGCAGGGCACAGCAUCGCUCAGCGGCGGGAACAGAUCAGCACAGCCUCUCUGCUUCCCACCAUCCGCCCGCAGCUCCUUGGCCACUCGGUGUUACCACACCACACCACAACCAGCAGAACCACUCCACCUUUCCACGCAUUCUUGCUAAUCUCUCGUGCUGAUUGAAGCCGUUGCUAAUGACGAAACGUCUGAGGAUAACGACAGGCAGAAGUAACAGGGAAGUGAGGACCUGAAUCAUGCUUUUCUUCCACCUCGCUGGGCGGUGCGCAGGGAUGUGGGAGCUCUGCUGUGUGUUUCCCAGCUCUUUGCUCUUU
Long non-coding RNA from Centrocercus urophasianus (Greater sage-grouse), 3545 nucleotides. RefSeq lists it as uncharacterized. The transcript has 3 exons. The record is from RefSeq and is a predicted model, not a curated record. NCBI's taxonomy places the organism in Eukaryota, Metazoa, Chordata, Aves, Galliformes, Phasianidae.